AAAGCUAGAAAGCAACUAAGAAAAAGAAGGACUUUAGGCUACCAGAAUUAUGCUACAUUCUGCAGCUGGAAGAUUUCCCUACCUCCCUAACAUCCCUACCUCCUUCUAUGUAUUCAGUUCUAAACUCUGCAGUUCAAACAUACA
Oxyura jamaicensis (ruddy duck) is the source of this 144-nucleotide long non-coding RNA. RefSeq lists it as uncharacterized. The transcript has 4 exons. Lineage: Eukaryota; Metazoa; Chordata; Aves; Anseriformes; Anatidae. The record is from RefSeq and is a predicted model, not a curated record.